Molecule: transfer RNA, 72 nt
Filed under: Verrucomicrobiota bacterium
Lineage: Bacteria; Pseudomonadati; Verrucomicrobiota
Description: Verrucomicrobia bacterium tRNA-Lys
Rfam family: tRNA
About the family: Transfer RNA (tRNA) molecules are approximately 80 nucleotides in length.
Source: RNAcentral
GGGUUGAUAGCUCAAUGGUAGAGCAGCGCCCUUUUAAGGCGUUGGUUCUGGGUUCGAGUCCCAGUCAACCCA